GGAAGCACAACGGUCACUGGUGGGCCGCCCGGUCUUCAAAACCGGAGAGGGGGGUGAGAAACUUCCCUGGUGAGUUCGAUUCUCAUGUGCUUCCGCCA
This 98-nucleotide transfer RNA is filed under the name Pelotalea chapellei. Its description in RNAcentral is "tRNA-Sec". It matches the Rfam family "Selenocysteine transfer RNA". Lineage: Bacteria; Pseudomonadati; Thermodesulfobacteriota; Desulfuromonadia; Geobacterales; Geobacteraceae. The record is from RNAcentral.